Molecule: transfer RNA, 67 nt
Filed under: Jacobsonina sp.
Lineage: Eukaryota; Metazoa; Arthropoda; Insecta; Blattodea; Blattellidae
Description: tRNA-Asp
Source: RNAcentral
GAAGGUUUAGUUAAAUUAUAACAUUAGAAUGUCAAACUAAAAUUAUCAUAUUCAUUGAUAUCCUUCU